Molecule: long non-coding RNA, 5681 nt
Filed under: Salmo salar (Atlantic salmon)
Lineage: Eukaryota; Metazoa; Chordata; Actinopteri; Salmoniformes; Salmonidae
Description: lncRNA (ENSSSAG00000095781.1)
Source: RNAcentral
GUACUAUGAAGGCACAUGCAAACAACGGACUGCAGACAACACUGUACAGAGCCAAAGGCGUUAACAAGUGUCCUGUGAAACCUACAAGAAAACUUCAGCAUUCCCAUUGGGGUUAUUGCUCUAUCCAAGAGUUGUUGUAAUCAUGUUUUUGGUUCCGAGCUGGUGUCAGUACCUUCGCUGUGGGUUCUGGAUCCAGUAUGGCGGUUCUGGUUGGGCGGGUCCAUCUUCAGGGCUUCCUUGAUCAGCCGCAGAGACGCAGGCUGGUAGCCCCCCUCCACCAUGUCACUGGACUACAGACAGAGCAAAAAUAACUACAUUACCCACAAUAGACAACACAGUAACAUUAAUGCAGAGUUCACGAGCACACCCAGCAUUUCAUGCAAAGUGCACUUUCAUAAGUAUUUACAAGUAUCCCCAAGUCACAAGAACACUGUUCAAGUUUUACACUGUGCAUUUUCUGUAAACGUACAAUGUUUAGACAGUUUAAGAUGACAUGAAGAAAAGUAAUUGUAUUAUUUAAGUCGCCUGGUAGAAUACACAACUGUUCCGUCCUAACAUUAUAAUGUUUAGGGUCUACAACGUUCUACACUCGAGUGCACUUUCAGGACAAGCACUUCUGCACCUGAAUAUCAAAUCGGUGUCUUUCCAACAUCCACCAGCACUGCUGCAGUUCGUCAGUCACUCAAACACAGCAGAUUAAAAACAUUGUUCUGAGUCUCACCACGCACAGAUAAACUUCACUGAACAAAAAUAUAAAAACGCAACAUGUAGUGUUGGUCCCAUGUUUCAUGAGCUGAAAUAAAAGAUCCCAGAAAUGUUCCAUUUGCACACAAAAAAUUACAUUUCUCUCCCUGUUAGUGAGCAUUUCUCUUUUUACCAAGGUAAUCCAUCCACCUGACAGGUGUGGCAUAUCAAGAAGCUGAUUUAAACAGCAUGAUCAUUGCACAUAUAAAAUGUGCAGUUGUCACAAUGCCACAGAUGUCUCAAGUUGAGGUAGCAUGCAGUCGGCAUGCUGACUGCAGGAAUGUCCACCAGCGCUGUUGCCACAGAAUUGAAUGUUCAUUUCUCUCCCAUAAGCCGACUCCCACGUAGUUUCAGAGAAUUUGUUAGUACGUCCAACCGGCCUCACAACCGCAGACCACGUGUCUGGGGGUCAUGUGGGAGAGCGGUUUGCAGAUGUCAACAUUGUAAACAGUGCCCCAUGGUGGCGGUGGGGUUAUGGCAUGGGCAGGAAUAAGCUACAGACAACGAAAACAACCGCAUUUUAUUGAUGGCAAUUUGGAUUGCACAUAGAUACAGUGAUGAGAUCUUGAGGCCCAUCACCUUAUGUUUCAGCAUAAUGCUGCACAGCCCCAUGUUGCAAGGAUCUGUACACAACUCCUGGAAGCUGAACAUUCCCCAGUUCUUCCAUGGCCUGCAUACUUACCAGACAUGUCACCCCAUCGAGCAUGUGUGGGAUGCUCUGGAUCGACGUGUAUGUCAGCGUGUUCCAGUUCCCGCCAAUAUCCAGCAACUUCGCUCAGCCAUUGACGAGGAGUGGGACAACAUUCCACAGGCCACAAUCAACAGCCUGAUCAACUCUAUGAGAAGGAGAUGUGUCGCGCUGGAUGAGGCAAAUGGUGGUCAAACCAGAUAGUGACUGGUUCUGAUCCAUGCCCAACGUUAUUUAAAAAAAAAAAAAAAGCUACAGUAUCUGUGACCAACAGAUGCAUAUCUACAUUCCCAGUCAUGUGAAAUCCAUAGAUUAGGGCCUAAUGAAUGCAUUUCAAUUGACCGGUUUUACUUCUAUGAACUGUAAGACAGUAAAAUCUUUGAAAUUGUUACAUGUUCAGUAUAGUGGUCUCUGGUGCAGUGAAUGACAUUCAGACUCCUCGGAAAACCUCAUCUCCCUCACCUCCUCUUUGAUGUUUUCUCCUUCCUCCCCGGGGAACUGAAUGAGGUACAGCUCGCGUGCCUCCUUCCACCCUCCCCCCGUUACUACCCUGGCUGCUCCUCCUCCUUCCUCCCCCGCGCCUCCAAAGGCAAGGCCCAGCGUCUGCUUUCCUCCUGAGGAGGAAGGGAGAGAGGAAAGGGAGCGGAUGGGGUGAGGAGGGAGCAUUAAGGAAAGAGUGGGAGGGACAGAGCGGUGAUAUAAAUAGAGGGGGAAGGGAGAGAGCAUUAUGAAGGAGAGGAAGGAAAGCAGGGAGAGGAGGAGGGAUGGCAGGGAGCGGGAGAGAGGCGAGGGGGGCAUGAAGGAUGGAGGGGAGCGGUGACAGAAGUGGAGAAAUUGGGGGAAGGGAGAAAGCAUGUUGAAGGAGAGCAGGAGGGAUGGCAUGGCGCAGGAGAGAGCAUGGACGAGAGGGGGUGAGAGGGGAGCAGUGACAGUGGAGGAGUUGGGGGAAGGGAGAGCAUGAAGGAGAGGAGGCAGAGUAGGGAGAAGGAGAGAGGAAGCGUAAAGGAGAGCAGAGGGGGUGGGAGUGAAAAGGGGAGAGGAAAGCGAAUAGAGAAUUGGAGGAGGUGGGGGCAGGGAGAAGGAGAGGGCAGGAUGAAGAGCAGAGGGAGAAGGAGGGAGGGAGGAGAGAGGUCGUGAUGGAGAGCGGAGAUAGGAGUGGGGGAGGUGAAAGAUAGAAAAUGAAGAGGAGGUGGGGGAGGGAGAGCGGAGGAGUAGAGAGGGAAGGAGAGAUGAGACAGCUCAGCCUCUGCCAGAUGGCUUCCAACAUAACAAGCACCUCUUCACACAAGCAUUACAGGCUUUCGACUUAAUGGUACACAAGAAAUCAACUUGUAUUGAUGUGAUAUGCAAUCACAUAACAUUUCAAUCAGAAUAUGAUGAAUGAUGUUUAAUGUCAGUUUUAUACAUAGGGAAAGACAAAUACAUAAACUACUUUAUGGUCCGUGAUGCUUUUGUGGCUGUACUUACUAAAUAUGAACACUUACGAGGCACUUCAAUUUUCCGCUUUUUCCGCCCACCGUCCUCAGACACUAUCAAACCAGCAUUGCGGCGAUUCUCUGCCCACCCCAUCCCGUACUUGCGUUCAUUUCUCAGUUUGUUCUCCGUCAGUCGGAGUCGGAGUUUCAGAGCGUCCAUUUCCUUCCUGUUCAGCGAUAUUUCCACCAGAUAGUCAUUCACCGUGUCCUGGAACAGUUUGGUGAUCUCGCACACCGAUGCGCGGAUCAAACUGUCCAUGACAGAGGUUAGGUGGGUCUGGAACGUCUCCACCGAGUCCGCCAUGGGUUCGCUGCCUUGACGAUCACACGAUGGAUAUGGGAAACUGGACGAGGCAGAUAUUCAACUGUAACACGAAAAGUAAUAACUAGAGUUGAACGUUACCAAGUCACAUUGUCAGUGAGUGACAACGGUACGUUAGUCAGCAGUAUCAUACAUACCUGUAAUUAAACCAAGUACCUAACGUUAGCUAUCUUCUGAAGGAUAAUAAUUGUUCUUGCUAGUAAUUAAGAUAGUAGCCUAGCUACUCACUACCAACAAAUGCAGCAGUUGAGCAAGAGAGCAUAACGUCGUAUGGCGCGAGGAAAAACAAGUAGCACCUACCACACCGUGAAUGUGAACUCAGCUUUACCGCGCGACCUAGCUACCACACUUGAGGGUUAGCUAGCUAGCUAACGUUAGCUUGAUUGCUACCAUAAGCUUUAUAAAUCCAGCUAACUCGACCACUAUUACAACACCACUAAGGCUAGACCAUACUAUGUGGCAACACUAACGUUACAGUACAAAGCCAGCUAACUAACGAUCGUCGCUAUCCGACCUUAUAAAGCUCCCUUCUUGAAUACAACGCUAGCUAGCUCGCUAACGUUAAGCUACAGCUCAAGCACAUAUUUGGCUCAAGUGGCAGCUAGGCUAGUAAUUCUAGCUAGCGUUACGUACCGUGCAGUCGCUGAAAUCAGGAUAACGAAACACCGUUUGAUAUAAACGACAACCAAUACGUAUGAACACCGUAGAUAAGCCAAGCGUCAAUAUGACAAAGGAAAAAUAGAUCCAACUUUAUAUCCUCCCUUCUAAACACCGUUGAGGGCAUGCGUAGUAGACAUUACCGUAUACAACCACAUCCUAAAAAAUGUCAUUUUGAGGCGAUGCAUGGGUUUAGACGAUUGACGUAUAUAAAACCUGGAUUGCUGACGCUAUGUAUUGGCCAUAUUGGCACUCCCUAGGUCGGAGGAGCAGUCCUCCAUAGAGCCUCACAGUGGAGGUGUCAUAAUACCCAUAAAACCUAACGGUCAAACUGAGGUGUAACUACGGACCCGGGUUUGAUCCCGGGCUGUAUCACAACCAGCUGUGAUCGGGAGUCCCAUAGGGCACCGUCUGGGUUAGGAGAGGGUUUGGCUGGGGUAGGCCGUCAUUGUAAAUAAGAAUUUGUUCUUAACUGACUUGCCUAGUUAAAUAAAAGGUCAAAAAAAUAAAGAAAUAAUGGUUCCAAUCGUUUUCCCACCAUUCAUUUUCCCAUAGGGAAUUUUAGAAACACUUAAAAUAAGGGUUGUGUUUCAUGUAGGCUUGUCCUGGUGACAUUUUGAUAACUCACCUUGUCCGAGAGAUUUACAUGGUUAUUAAUAUAUUUGUCUCUAUUUACUCUCCGACAUCAUGCAAAGCAGACAUCAUGCAAAGCGACAAAUUACAUUUACAAAUCCCUGCAAGCUCCUGCACUUCAUCUCUAGCUGAUAUCUUUGCUAACAGGUAUUGUGUCAAUUUAAAACGUGCACAAGACAGUUCACAGAAUUGUCCAUUUAAAUACAUUUUGCCAAUUUAUUCAAUACUACAUUUAACUAGCAUUAGAUAGUUAAUCCAGAGAUUCUUACAUUUGCCUCGAUUUGGCAGUCUUGUCCAGAUCAUAGCAUUUGCAGUUCUUUAUUAUCGUCACAUUAGCAACUAAUUAGCGGUAAAUUUGCUCCCCUUUGGUCAGUGUGGCGAGGGAUGUUCUGAUCAAUAAAUUGCAAAACUCGUGCAGCACACACCAUACCAGAAAUACUAAGAAAUUAGGAGAUGUGAAACUCAAUUCAUAAUAUAACCCAUUGUGUUCAUUGCCCAUAGAGAUAGGACUCUAGUGCACAAAAGCCCAUUUAGGAUGGGUAGCGCCAUCGAGGACUUUCACCAUUUUGAAGUAGUCAACUUUGUGAGGCUUCCUAUGGGAUCAGCAAAUGAAUUAUGCUUGUGAGCAAACAUUCCAUAACUGUAGAUGGCAGUAAAUCACCAACCUUGGCUUUAUGCCUGUACAAAUAAAUAACACACUUCAGCUGGCAGUAUGCACCCUUUCACGGAACCCAAACCGUCUGUGCACGUGCGCCAUCGUGCAUACAUUUAUUUUGUCCCCCCACACCAAACGCAUGUUAAAAUAUAACAACAAACUCUGAACCAAUUACAUUCAUUUAGGAACAGGUCAAAAAGCAUGAAACAUUUAUGGCAAUUUAGCUAGCUUGCACUUGCUAGCUAAUUUGUCCUAUUUAGCUAGCUUGCUGUUGCUAGCUAAUUUGUCCUGGGAUAUAGUUAAACAUUGAGUUGUUAUUUUACCUGAAAUGCACAUGGUCCUAUACUCCGACAAUUAAUCCACACAUAAAACGGUCAACCGAAUCAUUUCUAGUCAUCUCUCCUCCUUCCAGGCUUUUUAAUCUUUGCAUUUAUAUGGUUAUUGGCAUCUAAACUUUCAUAGUAUUACUACACCAACCGGCAACACAGUUCGUUUUUCAAUCACCCA